GUAGACGAUGUUUGGUGCGUCGUCAUGCUUCAACGUUUGUUUAGAUGAUCAGGUGCAGUUUGGAUUUCCAGAGGAAUGAGACUAGAACGUCACGGAUUUGGAGUUGUUUACUUUUGUCCAGUGACAUGUUCAAGCCUAUGAGAGUGUUGACAUCCCAGUUCAAGGCAUCCAUGUCGGCAUAGUGGAGAGACAUCCAUGUCUAGCUUGCUGAGGAAAUAGUUGAGCUUAUUGUGGCCCGAUCUGAGUCGAUGGAGGGUAAUAGAGAUAUUUCUGAUGGGAUGGUGAUGCCACUCGAGGACACCCAAUCUGUCCCUUGAGUUGAGACAGAUGCCGUCAGGGUGUUGUUGAUUUUGUUGGUGCAUGGGAUGUCGGCUAGGUUACUUGCCAACCUGUCAGCAUCUUCGUUGCCAGGAAUGCCAC
Molecule: long non-coding RNA, 420 nt
Organism: Daphnia magna
Lineage: Eukaryota; Metazoa; Arthropoda; Branchiopoda; Diplostraca; Daphniidae
Exons: 3
Source: RefSeq, a predicted model, not a curated record